GUGAAUCAUCAAAUUUUUGAACGCAAAUUGCACUUUCUGGUAUUCCGGAAAGUAUGCCUGUUUGAGGUUCAGUUAAAUAAAAAUCGGUGUUGUCGUUGCCUUUCGCUGUGAAGUGUCUGCAUUUGGUCCUCUUACCCUCGGUUAAGUGACACAAAACCUCUGCAUGCUUUACGUAUGUAUUUAUAUCGCUUACGCUCGUUUCAGAUAUCCAAUGUACAUUAGGUUGGGUCAUUCCUAUGUUUUGUGCCUAUAAU
This 254-nucleotide unclassified non-coding RNA is filed under the name Glomus sp. Its description in RNAcentral is "partial contains 5.8S ribosomal RNA and internal transcribed spacer 2". The stretch from base 1 to 71 matches the Rfam family "5.8S ribosomal RNA", at positions 84 to 154 of the family's 154-position model. The record is from RNAcentral. Lineage: Eukaryota; Fungi; Glomeromycota; Glomeromycetes; Glomerales; Glomeraceae.